CCCCUGGGCUCAAGUCAUCCUCCCACUUUCACCUCCGAAAAUGCUAGGAUUUCAGGUGUGAGCCACCGUACUCAGUCCUACCUCUGGUUUUAAUAUCAAGAAAUACUAUCUUCAUAAAAUGAAUUGGAAAGUGUUCCCUCCUCUUCUAUUUUCUGAAAGAAAAUGUAGAGAGAUGGUGUGAAUUCCUCUUUAAACAUUUGGUAGAAUUCUUCAGUGAAACCAUCUGGAUCUGGAGACUUCUUUUUUGGGAGUUUUAAAAUUGCAAAUUCAAUUUCCUUAACAGUUGUAGGCAUAUUCAAAUUAUCUAGUUCACAUUGGGUGAGCUGUAGUCAUUUGUAUUUUUCAAGGAAUCGGUCCUUUUUAACCAAGUUGUCAAAAGAAUGUGUGUUCUCAGUAGCUUUAAAAAAUUCUCUUCCCUCCAUUAGUUUCUCUCACAUUGAAAUGAGAUGCUGAUUCCCCCACAGGCCUUCCCUCCCUCCAAAUCGACGACAAAACGCAUUAUUCUGUGCCCUAAGCAUUCUUGACAGGUAGAGUCCAGGAUGGGGCAGUGCCAAUGUAAACAUACAGUUUCGAGGAACCAACUGGCCUUGGACCUCUCUGAAGAGCCCUGGAACCAGAGGGGGCUGGCGGUCCUCGAGUCACCUAAGCCUCCCUGGAGAGACCUCCGAGGCAGAAGGGCCUCCUCAGUGAGCUCAUUACUCCUGUUUUCCUGGAAGUCUCUACAGUCAUGAGGGUUCCAGCCUUCUGAUGAAGCCAACGCUGAGUGUGGCAGAGAGGAGGGAUGGAAAGGGACAAGCUCCCUCAGGAUCUCAGCAAGCUGCUUGACCAUGCUGCUGGACUCUUCCUGCGUAGCUGAUGCAUAAUCAAAUAUAUAAGUAAAAAAUGAUAUUUCCUUUGAGAACCGCUUGGACAGUGACCUGAACAUCUCAAGAAAAACCUUGGUGGACUUGCAUGAACCUGAUUUGGGUCAAAAUUCAGCACCAUGCUGAAAAUCAUGCCCUUGUGAAAUGACAAAUUGAAUGUGUUCAGAAACUGCAUUUGAACCAGUUGAGAUCCUGAUCCAGCCAGAAGUGACUAAGAUGACAAUCUUCAGGACACAGAGAAGCUGCUCCUUGUGAUGAAAGCCACUCCUCAAUGAGCUUCGUGAAGGCUGGUGAUCCACAUGGUCCUACCCCGCCCCACCCAUGUGUCUCUGUGGCAAACAACUCACAAGUGCAACAGUGGCCUGGCCCACUGAAAACACACUGAGCUACAGGCCACUGCUAUUGGUAAGAAUGUACCCCUGUCAUUGAGUGACCCACGACUGUAUCCUUUCGUGUCUGGGAUGGGAAAGAAGGACUUCUUGUGGAAUGCUCACUCUUAAGACCCAGCUGCCAUGCAAAGCCCCAGUUAGCUGUGUGGAGAGGUCACGUGGAGAGAGCCUUCCAACCAUCCCCACCGUGGUGCCAGACAAACGAGCAAAGCUAUGCUGAAUGUUCCAGCCCCAGCUGCCACCUCACUGAAGCCAUACAAAAGACUUCGGAUGGAGCCUUCCUUACUGUGGAAAAAGAGGCCUCAUUGCCUAGAGUUGGUGUGAAUGACUGCAAAGGUGAGUGAAAUUUCAUAUCCUCCAAUUUCAUUCCAUGAUUUUCAUUCCAGAAAUGAUAGUUUGCAUUUGCAAAUGUGCUUUCAUGAACUUUUGGUCAUGAUAACUCAGAGACUGAGGUAGACAUGUCCAUUAUACAGACAAAAACACUGAGUCAAAGAGGGCUGAUUAAUGGUGGAGGUUGGGCUUGAAUUUACAUCUUCACACUUGACUCUAGUAAACUUCUUUCUUCAUAUUAUUUGUUGCUAGCAUCAGAUCUUUAUUGUCUCUUGUAAUCUAUGGGCAGGAGCAGAUUCUGUAAAGAAUAUCUGUUCUUUCCUAUCCACGAAAUGACCUCCCAAAUAUAUUCCCGUCCUAAUCCAUGGAACCUGUGAUUAUGUUACCUUGAAUGGCAGAAGAGACUUUGCAGAUGUGACCCAAUUAAGGAUUUUGAGAUGGAGAGAUUAUCCUGGAUUAUCUGGGUAGACCUGAUGUAAUUACAAGUAUCCUUGUAAAAGGGAAGCAGGAGGGAGGGUGGAGGGGGGAAAGAGAGAGAGGGGAAGAGAGGAAAAGAAGAGGAGAAGAGAAGAAGAGAGAGAGGAAGAGAGAGGCUAUAUGAUGGCUUUGAAGAUGGAGGAUGGGGCCAUGAGCCAAGUGAUGCAAGUGACGGACCUCCAGAAGCUAGAAAAAGACUAGGAAACAGACCUUUUCCCCACAGCCUCUGGAGGGGAAGCAGCCUUGCUGACACCCUGAUUUUAGCCCACUGAGACUGGUUUUGUACUUUGGAACUCCAGAACUGUAAAAUGAUACAUUUGUGUUGUUUGAAGUCACUAAGUUUGUGGUAAUUUGUUACAGCAGCAAUAGCAAACUAAUACAUGCAGUAUCCUCUCUUAUUAACUGUAAUAGAAUUCAUCUCAUCCUCUCCAGGUAGUUGCCUCUUGGAGAAACCGCCUGGCUCCAUUCUUGGUCUGGUGAUGUGAGUGGGGCUGACCCCACUCAUGGCUUCAGGGCAGAACAUAGCCUCCAGGCCUGGGCAUCAAGCAUGCUGCGUUCUCUGGUCACAGUGGCUGGUCAGGGGUGAGCAAGGCCCUUCAGAAGGCAGCUCUAGACUCUUGCUGGAGGGGUGAGCAAGGCCCUUCAGAAGGCAACUCUAGACUCUUGCUGGAGCUAUUAGGAAGGGGGUAUGUCCUUUCUACAGUGGAUACUGAGCUGAAGGGAAGCCUGGAGCAGGUGGGCAGCCACUUGAGAAUGAAGACAACACAAAAGAAAGCUGAGCCAAGGACUGGAAAGAGAGGUAUUCUCCUUAAGACACAGCUAGAAACCUGAAUCAGGUCAUGUCUAAAGAGAGCUUAAAGAUCCCAAUGACAGGAGCCAAUCAAGUCUUUUUGUUUAAGCUAGUUGGAGUUGAAGUUCUGAACCCAGAUAUUUCUGACUAAUAGUGUUAGGUUAGAAGUCACCUAAAUUGGAUUAUCUGAUGAUUGAUUUUGUGGAAGUUCAACACUAUGGAGCACCAUCCAGUACCACCCAAAAGAAGGCAUGCUAGUACCCAAAUGCCAUUGAUCUUACAAUGAAAACCGGGGAGAAAAUUUGAGUCCCUUUCCCCCAGAGGAUGUUCCUGCCGAGAGUUACUACUUCAGUUCUUUUUACUUAACAAAUCCUAACCCUUCUACAUCAGUAUAUUGCUUCCUCGGGUUUCAUCUCAUGCAGCUAUGGAGAACCAAGGAAAGGGAGUGACUGGCUGCAAGACCCAUGUCAGCUGGUGGCCAGGCUGGGAUAAGGACUCUGACCCUAAGCACUGUGUGCUUUCUGAAGCAUGCUGCUUCGAGCUUUCUUGUGAGCAUAGUCACUCCUGUUUCUGUGGCUCUGAAAAUUCACCACCUGCUGUGUGCAAUUAGUUCUUGUUGCUCUCACCUUGCCGAUCAGCAUUCUCAAUUUCAUUUUCGGAGCCUAGCUUUAUCACUAUCAUAAAGAGAUUAUCUAACAUCUUGAAUAUUAAAAAUCUGACUCCACAGAGUAAGAUUUGCAUUCCAAGGUUAUUGUUGUUUACCAGCACUCAUCACUUGACCUGCUGUUUUUUGAGACACGUCACUCUGAAGGGCAAGAGAGAGCUCCCCACAGCCCACCUAUGGAGAUCACAUUUUAAAGACUCUUCAUUUGAGUUCCUAAUACUGAUGGCAUUGAUCUGUCACAUCUCCAUGAACCAAGCUCAACUGACAAUUCUAGAAUCAACCAGAACAGGAAGGGAUGUUAAAGGUUACUUGGUCCAAUCCUUGCAUUUUCCAGUUCGAAAAGUGAGACUUGGAAAUUCAAGUAUGUAUCAGUCAGAGUUCUUGCUUAGAGGCAAGUACUCUGCUAACUUAAGAGUAUGAAUGUUUUCAAACACCGCAUGUUCUCACUCAUAGGUGGGAACUGAACAAUGAGAUUA
Molecule: long non-coding RNA, 3989 nt
Organism: Chlorocebus sabaeus (green monkey)
Lineage: Eukaryota; Metazoa; Chordata; Mammalia; Primates; Cercopithecidae
Source: RefSeq, a predicted model, not a curated record